CCUUAUCGAGAACUGGGCUUAUGUGUAAAUAAAUCUUUGGUUAAACCCAUUCGCUCUCUUGCUUCUGCGGCGGCUGCUCGCGUUUUGUCAUGGCUUCCGUGAAUUGGACGGGUGUUGAUGGUUUCCUGGGUGACGCGAUUCUAGUUUGAUUGGUUGCCAUGAUUGCCGGAUGAAGGUUUGAGUGGCGCGAGAUGGAGAAGAGGGUUGUGCGAAGGAGAUGACGGUCAUGCGAGGAGCUUUGCGUCUUU
This 248-nucleotide small RNA is filed under the name Vigna angularis var. angularis. RNAcentral's name for it is "Non-protein coding transcript". Lineage: Eukaryota; Viridiplantae; Streptophyta; Magnoliopsida; Fabales; Fabaceae. The record is from RNAcentral.